CCGGCGCACGGGUGAGUAACACGUAUCCAACCUGCCGUCUACUCUUGGACAGCCUUCUGAGAGGAAGAUUAAUACAAGAUGGCAUCAUGAGUCCGCAUGUUCACAUGAUUAAAGGUAUUCCGGUAGACGAUGGGGAUGCGUUCCAUUAGAUAGUAGGCGGGGUAACGGCCCACCUAGUCUUCGAUGGAUAGGGGUUCUGAGAGGAAGGUCCCCCACAUUGGAACUGAGACACGGUCCAAACUCCUACGGGAGGCAGCAUG
Molecule: ribosomal RNA, 260 nt
Filed under: uncultured bacterium
Lineage: Bacteria
Description: partial 16S ribosomal RNA
Rfam family: Bacterial small subunit ribosomal RNA
Source: RNAcentral